GACGAACGCUGGCGGCGUGCUUAACACAUGCAAGUCGAACGGAAAGGCCCUGCUUUUGUGGGGUGCUCGAGUGGCGAACGGGUGAGUAACACGUGAGUAACCUGCCCUUGACUUUGGGAUAACUUCAGGAAACUGGGGCUAAUACCGGAUAGGAGCUCCUGCUGCAUGGUGGGGGUUGGAAAGUUUCGGCGGUUGGGGAUGGACUCGCGGCUUAUCAGCUUGUUGGUGGGGUAGUGGCUUACCAAGGCUUUGACGGGUAGCCGGCCUGAGAGGGUGACCGGCCACAUUGGGACUGAGAUACGGCCCAGACUCCUACGGGAGGCAGCAGUGGGGAAUGUUGCACAAUGGGCGGAAGCCUGAUGCAGCAACGCCGCGUGCGGGAUGACGGCCUUCGGGUUGUAAUCCGCUUUCGCCUGUGACGAAGCGUGAGUGACGGUAAUGGGUAAAGAAGCACCGGCUAACUACGUG
This 468-nucleotide ribosomal RNA is filed under the name uncultured bacterium. Its description in RNAcentral is "partial 16S ribosomal RNA". It matches the Rfam family "Bacterial small subunit ribosomal RNA", at positions 28 to 507 of the family's 1533-position model. The record is from RNAcentral.